CUGACAUCUGAAGGACAAUCAAAUCUGAAUCAGAUCAGUUAUCUAUUUGAAUAUAAAUUUUUGAUCGACACUCUUGAAGAACAUUUUCAUAUCCUGGUCUAAUUUCAGACGAACUGUCAGUUUGUUUGUCCAAUUAAAAUACUGAACACUCAUGUUCUAACGACAGAAUUAUUGUUCUACGCUUUGCACUUCCGACAUUUUUUCCUAGAUGGUAAUUGAUGUAAAUACUGAAAGCUGAUUCUAAUAGUUGGCAAAAACGCCAUUUAUUGUUGAAAUUAUCAUUCACAACAUGAAGCUAUCAAUAUUAUUUCCAGACGCUGUGUACGUACAUCAUGUUGAAAAUUGUAGUACUCUCGUUACAGGGAUUUUUCCAAGAAACUAUGCUGUGUGUUACCAGUCUUUUCGUAAAAGAAUAACUACGUCCACGCAACAAUCAUCAGCGAUGGAGAUCGAUCCACGGUCGAAAUAAGAUCGAUCCAUCCAUACAACUGCUCUGCUCUGCAAGAAACAUCGGGCUGCUGUUCUAUAAAUAACUCAACAAUGAUCAAUCAACUGUCUCCGCUGUCCGGUCUAACUGGAUAAUGGAAGAACAGAACGAAAACUCUUACGCCUAUAUGGCAACUGUGUAAAUUUGUACCAUAUGCAAAGGUAUAGAAGGGAAUACUCUAACGCCGAAAACAUGGCAACUGUGUAAUGUGCUAAUUAUAGAUAUGAUAAACAUGUGACAUGUACACGAUUGAAAUUCGGCUCAGUUACAGCUAAAAUGCUAAUGAGCCUAAAAUAAA
Toxorhynchites rutilus septentrionalis is the source of this 785-nucleotide long non-coding RNA. RefSeq lists it as uncharacterized. The transcript is spliced from 3 exons. NCBI's taxonomy places the organism in Eukaryota, Metazoa, Arthropoda, Insecta, Diptera, Culicidae. The record is from RefSeq and is a predicted model, not a curated record.